RNAcentral lists this ribosomal RNA (878 nucleotides) under Russula aff. fucosa VH-2016. RNAcentral describes it as "eukaryotic LSU rRNA". It matches the Rfam family "Eukaryotic large subunit ribosomal RNA", at positions 75 to 931 of the family's 3401-position model. Lineage: Eukaryota; Fungi; Basidiomycota; Agaricomycetes; Russulales; Russulaceae. The record is from RNAcentral.
UUCCCCUAGUAACUGCGAGUGAAGCGGGAAAAGCUCAAAUUUAAAAUCUGGUGGUCUUUGGCCAUCCGAGUUGUAAUUUAGAGAAGCGUUUUCCGCGCUGGACCGUGCACAAGUCUCCUGGAAUGGAGCGUCAUAGAGGGUGAGAAUCCCGUCUUUGGCAUGGACACACCAGGGCUUUUGUGAUGCGCUCUCGAAGAGUCGAGUUGUUUGGGAAUGCAGCUCAAAAUGGGUGGUGAACUCCAUCUAAAGCUAAAUAUUGGCGAGAGACCGAUAGCGAACAAGUACCGUGAGGGAAAGAUGAAAAGCACUUUGGAAAGAGAGUGAAACAGUACGUGAAAUUGUUGAAAGGGAAACGCUUGAAGUCAGUCACGUCGACCGAGACUCAGCCUUGCCUCGGCUUGGUGUACUUCUCGGCUGACGGGUCAGCAUCAAUUUUGCCCCUUGGAUAAUGGCGAGGGAAAUGUGACACCUUUAUGGUGUGUUAUAGUCUCUCGUCGCAUGCAAGGGUUGGGAUUGAGGAACUCAGCACGCGCCUUUUGGUGUCGGGGUUUUGCCCACGAUACGUGCUUAGGAUGUUGGCAUAAUGGCUUUAAACGACCCGUCUUGAAACACGGACCAAGGAGUCUAACAUGCCUGCGAGUGUUCGGGUGGAAAACCCGUGCGCGCAAUGAAAGUAAAAGUUGGGACCUCUGUCGUGGAGGGCACCGACGCCCGGACCAGACCUUCUGUGACGGCUCUGCGGUAAAGCAUGUAUGUUAGGACCCGAAAGAUGGUGAACUAUGCCUGAAUAGGGUGAAGCCAGAGGAAACUCUGGUGGAGGCUCGUAGCGAUUCUGACGUGCAAAUCGAUCGUCAAAUUUGGGUAUAGGGGCGAAAGAC